GACGAACGCUGGCGGCGUGCUUAACACAUGCAAGUCGAACGGAAAGGCCCUGCUUUUGUGGGGUGCUCGAGUGGCGAACGGGUGAGUAACACGUGAGUAACCUGCCCUUGACUUUGGGAUAACUUCAGGAAACUGGGGCUAAUACCGGAUAGGAGCUCCUGCUGAAUGGUGGGGGUUGGAAAGUUUCGGCGGUUGGGGAUGGACUCGCGGCUUAUCAGCUUGUUGGUGGGGUAGUGGCUUACCAAGGCUUUGACGGGUAGCCGGCCUGAGAGGGUGACCGGCCACAUUGGGACUGAGAUACGGCCCAGACUCCUACGGGAGGCAGCAGUGGGGAAUAUUGCACAAUGGGCGGAAGCCUGAUGCAGCAACUCCGCGUGCGGGAUGACGGCCUUCGGGUUGUAAACCGCUUUCGCCUGUGACGAAGCGUGAGUGACGGUAAUGGGUAAAGAAGCACCGGCUAACUACGUG
Molecule: ribosomal RNA, 468 nt
Filed under: uncultured bacterium
Lineage: Bacteria
Description: partial 16S ribosomal RNA
Rfam family: Bacterial small subunit ribosomal RNA
Source: RNAcentral